AGUGAACGCUGGCGGCAGGCCUAACACAUGCAAGUCGAACGGCAGCACAGUGAUUGCUUGCGGUUCCGGGGGGGGAAUGGCGUGCGUAUCAGGUGAAUAUCCUUCUCUACUUUUUCGGAUGACUUAACGUAGGGGGACCUACUCCAAUACCGCAGACGACGUACGAUGGAGAGCAUUGGAUCUUCUGACCUGUCGCGAUUGAAUGAGCGGCUGUCGGGUUAGCUAGUUGGCGGGGUAAUGGCCCACCAAUGCGACGAUCGGUAGCUGGUCUGAGAGGAUGAUCAGCCACACUGGAACUGAGACACGGUCCAGACUCCUACGGGAGGCAGCAGUGGGGAAUAUUGGACAAUGGGCGAAAGCCUGAUCCAGCCAUACCGCGUGUGUGAAGAAGGCCUUCGGAUUGUAAAGCCCGUUUGUUGGGAAAGAAAAGCAGUAGGUUAAUACCCCGCUGUUGUGACGGUACCAAAAGAAUAAGCACCGGCUAACUUCGUG
This 492-nucleotide ribosomal RNA is filed under the name uncultured bacterium. Its description in RNAcentral is "partial 16S ribosomal RNA". It matches the Rfam family "Bacterial small subunit ribosomal RNA", at positions 29 to 507 of the family's 1533-position model. The record is from RNAcentral.